RNAcentral lists this ribosomal RNA (469 nucleotides) under uncultured Glomus. RNAcentral's name for it is "SSU rRNA". It matches the Rfam family "Eukaryotic small subunit ribosomal RNA", at positions 583 to 1056 of the family's 1831-position model. Lineage: Eukaryota; Fungi; Glomeromycota; Glomeromycetes; Glomerales; Glomeraceae. The record is from RNAcentral.
UUCCAGCUCCAAUAGCGUAUAUUAAAGUUGUUGCAGUUAAAAAGCUCGUAGUUGAAUUUCGGGGUUAGUAGGCUGGUCAUGCCUCUGGUAUGUACUGGUCCCACUGAUUCCUCCUUCCUGAUGAACCGUAAUGCCAUUAAUUUGGUGUUGCGGGGAAUUUGGACUGUUACUUUGAAAAAAUUAGAGUGUUUAAAGCAAGCUAACGCUUGAAUACAUUAGCAUGGAAUAAUGAAACAGGACGUUCGAUCCUAUUUUGUUGGUUUCUAGGAUUGACGUAAUGAUUAAUAGGGACGGUUGGGGGCAUUAGUAUUCAAUUGUCAGAGGUGAAAUUCUUGGAUUUAUUGAAGACUAACUACUGCGAAAGCAUUUGCCAAGGAUGUUUUCAUUAAUCAAGAACGAAAGUUAGGGGAUCGAAGACGAUCAGAUACCGUCGUAGUCUUAACCAUAAACUAUGCCGACUAGGGAUCGG